ACCUUUUAUAUGAUCAUUAUAAAAAAUAAGAGAAUAACAGGUACGAAAUAAUUCCAACUCAUACUAUAGGACAGCAACACAAAAAUACAGUUUGAAAGGGGAGUGAUUAAAAUAUCCAUAAAGAAAAAGAAA
Molecule: long non-coding RNA, 132 nt
Organism: Notothenia coriiceps (black rockcod)
Lineage: Eukaryota; Metazoa; Chordata; Actinopteri; Perciformes; Nototheniidae
Exons: 3
Source: RefSeq, a predicted model, not a curated record